AAGCAAUGUUUGCAUAGUUUAUGUGGCAAUGAAUAAAUGAGUGAUAUAAUUGUACUAAAGUGCAGUAAGAAAACUAUCCCUAAGCGACGAUUAGUCAACCGGACAAGAUGCUGCCAAAAUGGCUAUCAAGUUCAAUUGACACGGAUGGCCUCGAAAAAAUCGCUAGGAGAGGCGUAGAGGAAAGUUCUUUAGAAAACAUUAUACUUUUAUAUUAAAUGUAAUGAAGUGUUUUUUAUAAUAUAUUUAUUUUCUUUUUUA
Molecule: non-coding RNA, 258 nt
Organism: Hydra vulgaris (swiftwater hydra)
Lineage: Eukaryota; Metazoa; Cnidaria; Hydrozoa; Anthoathecata; Hydridae
Source: RefSeq, a predicted model, not a curated record